RNAcentral lists this ribosomal RNA (266 nucleotides) under uncultured bacterium. Its description in RNAcentral is "partial 16S ribosomal RNA". It matches the Rfam family "Bacterial small subunit ribosomal RNA", at positions 88 to 354 of the family's 1533-position model. The record is from RNAcentral.
CGACUGAGUGGCGGACGGGUGAGUAACGCGUGGGCAACCUGCCCCAUACAGGGGGAUAACAGUUAGAAAUGACUGCUAACACCGCAUAAGCGCACAGGGCCGCAUGGCCCGGUGUGAAAAACUCCGGUGGUAUGGGAUGGGCCCGCGUCUGAUUAGCCGGUUGGCGGGGUAACGGCCCACCAAAGCGACGAUCAGUAGCCGACCUGAGAGGGUGACCGGCCACAUUGGGACUGAGACACGGCCCAAACUCCUACGGAAGGCAGCAG